GAAAAUCUUAGCAUGAAUCAUGCAUCACGGAUGCCAUGUGAUAUUUUAGGUUGUUUGCAUUAGAAAUCACGAAUAUGUUGCAUUGCAUAAUAUGUUGUUGAUGUGGAUGAAUGUUGAAUGAUCCUCUAGCCGCACUACGUUAUGAUAUGAUGUGGAAAGACCAGAUGUGGCCUGCACUACGCCCCUGGCACUAUGUAAGAGAAAGACCGGAAAUGGCCUGCACUACGCCGCCGGCACUAUUGGAUAUGUUAUGUUAUGUUAUGUGUAAGAGAAAGACCAGAUGUGGCCUGCACUAUGCCCCUGGCACUAUUGGAUUCAGUAGUGGGCUAUUGGUGACAAGUUCAUCCUUGACGUGAAUUGAUUGUGAUAUGUUGCAUUUCAUGAAAGCAUGAAAAAUAAAUUGAAUGUUAUAUUAUUCUGCUCACUGGGCUCUUGUAGCUCACCCCUUUCCCCUUAUCCCCCAGGUUUGCAGGUACAGGGUAGACCAGGAGGUUGGCAGGAGUAAAGUCUGUU
Molecule: long non-coding RNA, 513 nt
Filed under: Manihot esculenta (cassava)
Lineage: Eukaryota; Viridiplantae; Streptophyta; Magnoliopsida; Malpighiales; Euphorbiaceae
Description: long non-coding RNA (MESC_LNC004702)
Source: RNAcentral